This 346-nucleotide unclassified non-coding RNA is filed under the name soil metagenome. RNAcentral describes it as "partial contains 5.8S ribosomal RNA, internal transcribed spacer 2, and large subunit ribosomal RNA". The stretch from base 1 to 120 matches the Rfam family "5.8S ribosomal RNA", at positions 35 to 154 of the family's 154-position model. The record is from RNAcentral.
GAUGAAGAACGCAGCGAAAUGCGAUACGUAAUGUGAAUUGCAGAAUUCAGUGAAUCAUCGAGUCUUUGAACGCACAUUGCGCCCCCUGGAAUUCCGGGGGGCAUGCCUGUCCGAGCGUCAUUGCUGCCCUCAAGCACGGCUUGUGUGUUGGGUCUCGUCCCCCUUCCCGGGGGGACGGGCCCGAAAGGCAGCGGCGGCACCGCGUCCGGUCCUCGAGCGUAUGGGGCUUUGUCACCCGCUCUGUAGGCCCGGCCGGCGCUUGCCGAUCAACCAAAACUUUUUUCCAGGUUGACCUCGGAUCAGGUAGGGAUACCCGCUGAACUUAAGCAUAUCAAUAAGCGGAGGA